Molecule: long non-coding RNA, 1994 nt
Organism: Neofelis nebulosa (Clouded leopard)
Lineage: Eukaryota; Metazoa; Chordata; Mammalia; Carnivora; Felidae
Exons: 2
Source: RefSeq, a predicted model, not a curated record
AGAAGAAACUUCAGUUCUACAGAUAUUAUUCAAAUUAAGCACCUCAUGUAUGAACUAAAAUUGUUACCUACCAAAUGCAAAUAUUUUAUCUUGCAGUUAGCAUUUCCAUGGCUUAAACUUUCCACAUCGGAACUACGUAGGGGAUGACAGCAUUGAAUUCAGUGGAGCUCUGUCCCUUUGCAUUCACACACUUGUGAUAUUGUUGGUUUCAAAUCUGUCAUGAGAGCUGGAGACAUGAAUUUUUCUCCGGCCGAACUCAAAGGCAGGGUGGCAACUGGCUGGGACUUAGAGUGUCCAAAGCAGAAAAGUGUCUGGCGAUCGGGGACCAGUUGGUUAGCCUACCGAACGGCUGCAAACCAUAAGGAACAGAACAAACACAUGUAGCCAAGUCUGUGUGAAUCAGGAACCAGCUGGAGAACUAAGAAUUUUCUGAAUUAAUCUGGGUGCAGAAGAGGAUGCUGUGAACGGGCAAGCAGUGACAUCAUGGAGUUUCACGUACGCGUUGUUAAAAUUCAAUCAUAACCGCAAGCCAUGGUUUAGAACAAAGGAUUUUUUUCGGGGAGGAGUGUUUCAUCUGGGACAUUGUAUAGAGUUGAUGGGCUGGGUGGUAAUGACAAGCAGAGCAGCUUCCGGUUGGUUUUAUUAUCGUUUGCAAAUCACCUGCAGAGACAAUGCAGGUCCUUACUGCCUGUACCUGGGGCAGUCGCUGGGUCGUCCCGCCUGUCUCAAACCACAGUGCCUGGUGAGCAGAAAUGUUAGGUCUCAUUACAGCUAGCCCUGGGCUCUCGGGGAAGUCUUUCCACCUCUGUUAUUUUGUAGGGUUGUCGGACAUAGGAAUUUGCAUGGUUGUUGGUUACAGGAUUAUUGCAUAAAUUACAAGGUGCCUCGCUCAGCCCUGACAUUUGGGAGGGGCUCAACAACAAACAGUUGAAAACUCUCCUAUCUGCCUCCGUAUCUACCCCGUUCCCUCUUCUGGAAUGCCUUACCCUUAGAUCUUGGCUGAUUGAAACUUGCCUCAUCUCAAAUGGGUGAAGCCCUCCGUCGCUACAUUCCUGCAGAUCUGUUUGCUCCUGCCGUCUCCUGGGUCUCCCGGCCACAUCUGGUCUCGUCUGGUGUCCGCUUCUUGGACAAGGUGGCCUUGUCGCCUUGUCUCCCAGCCCCUCCUGUUGGCACAAUUCCCUCUUUCACCGUCUCUCUCCAGAAGGCACCUGCAUGGACCUCGGGGCCGGGCUAUAUACCCAUCUCUGCAAUUCGGGGACACCUGUUGCCAGUGUCCUUUCUGAUGAGUCUGAGCCAAUGGCCUGGGCACUGUUACUGGGCUUUCGACCCACAGCAGCACUUUGAGGGUGAAAGCAAGACACGAGCAGGAGGACGGGAGAUGCCCCCGGCUGCUGGGACCUUCUGAACUGAUUCAGGCUGUGGGUGUGACAGAGGCUGUCUCACAUAGCGAGAAGUACAAACCGGUUACCACCCUUACUGAAUGCAAUCUCUCAAUAACUGUGAGAAGCCUUCAACGUGUUGUCCCCUUUCGUCUAGUAAACCCACUGGUAGGAUUCCAUCUAUCCACGGAUACACUCUAAAAAGCAGAUGAAGUUUUAUUCACAAAGGUGUUCACGGAAAUGUCAUUUAUAAUACCCAACAUUGGAAACGCUUCAAAGACCCAACAUAAACGGAACGGUGAUAAAAUUAGGCUGUAGCCAUAGGACAAAAAAGUACUCAAGCUUUACAAUUAUAUUUAUGCACGUUUUCUAACGAUUUGGAGAAAAGUGCUGUGUUUAUAAAGUGAGAACAGAUCUACAAAAUUGUGUGUCCAGGAUGAAUUUUUUUCAUUUUGUAUCGUGGUAAAAAUAUACAUCACAAGGCCUCCCAUUCUAACCAUUUUUAAGUGGACAAUCCGGUGGCAUUACGCAUAGUCGCAAGGUUGUGCGACCGUCACUGUUCUCUGUUUCCAGAACUUUUUCACCGUCCCAAAUGAAACAGCCAUUUUAGGUAAA